This is a long non-coding RNA of Oncorhynchus keta (chum salmon), 1768 nucleotides long. RefSeq lists it as uncharacterized. NCBI's taxonomy places the organism in Eukaryota, Metazoa, Chordata, Actinopteri, Salmoniformes, Salmonidae. The record is from RefSeq and is a predicted model, not a curated record. The transcript has 3 exons.
GUGCAGCUAGACAACUGCUUAUCAUGGUCAUCUCAAAUAACUAAUCUAUGUAAAAAAAAAUAUUAACAGCAUGCAUAAUCAGAAGGAGGGCUAAAUAUUUACCAGGGAAAAUUCAGCAAAUAACACAGGCAUUGGUUGAGAGUCAAGUGAACUAUUGUUGGGUGGUCUGGGGAAAUGCAUCAUCAAGUGAUGUUAGGAGGCUGCAGAAUGCACAGAAUAAAGCAGCAAGGAUUGUUGUAAGGUGGAGAUAUAGUUCUUCUGUUGCAGUCAUUGGUUGUUUUAAGGUGGAGAUAUGGUUCUUCUGUUGCAGUCAUGGGUUGUUUUAAGGUGGAGAUAUGGUUCUUCUGUUGCAGUCAUGGGUUGUUUUAAGGUGGAGAUAUGGUUCUUCUGUUGCAGUCAUGGGUUGUUUUAAGGUGGAGAUAUGGUUCUUCUGUUGCAGUCAUGGGUUGUUUUAAGGUGGAGAUAUGGUUCUUCUGUUGCAGUCAUGGGUUGUUUUAAGGUGGAGAUAUGGUUCUUCUGUUGCAGUCAUGGGUUGUUUUAAGGUGGAGAUAUGGUUCUUCUGUUGCAGUCAUGGGUUGUUUUAAGGUGGAGAUAUGGUUCUUCUGUUGCAGUCAUGGGUUGUUUUAAGGUGGAGAUAUGGUUCUUCUGUUGCAGUCAUGGGUUGUUUUAAGGUGGAGAUAUGGUUCUUCUGUUGCAGUCAUGGGUUGUUUUAAGGUGGAGAUAUGGUUCUUCUGUUGCAGUCAUGGGUUGUUUUAAGGUGGAGAUAUGGUUCUUCUGUUGCAGUCAUGGGUUGUUUUAAGGUGGAGAUAUGGUUCUUCUGUUGCAGUCAUGGGUUGUUUUAAGGUGGAGAUAUGGUUCUUCUGUUGCAGUCAUGGGUUGUUUUAAGGUGGAGAUAUGGUUCUUCUGUUGCAGUCAUGGGUUGUUUUAAGGUGGAGAUAUGGUUCUUCUGUUGCAGUCAUGGGUUGUUUUAAGGUGGAGAUAUGGUUCUUCUGUUGCAGUCAUGGGUUGUUUUAAGGUGGAGAUAUGGUUCUUCUGUUGCAGUCAUGGGUUGUUUUAAGGUGGAGAUAUGGUUCUUCUGUUGCAGUCAUGGGUUGUUUUAAGGUGGAGAUAUGGUUCUUCUGUUGCAGUCAUGGGUUGUUUUAAGGUGGAGAUAUGGUUCUUCUGUUGCAGUCAUGGGUUGUUUUAAGGUGGAGAUAUGGUUCUUCUGUUGCAGUCAUGGGUUGUUUUAAGGUGGAGAUAUGGUUCUUCUGUUGCAGUCAUGGGUUGUUUUAAGGUGGAGAUAUGGUUCUUCUGUUGCAGUCAUGGGUUGUUUUAAGGUGGAGAUAUGGUUCUUCUGUUGCAGUCAUGGGUUGUUUUAAGGUGGAGAUAUGGUUCUUCUGUUGCAGUCAUGGGUUGUUUUAAGGUGGAGAUAUGGUUCUUCUGUUGCAGUCAUGGGUUGUUUUAAGGUGGAGAUAUGGUUCUUCUGUUGCAGUCAUGGGUUGUUUUAAGGUGGAGAUAUGGUUCUUCUGUUGCAGUCAUGGGUUGUUUUAAGGUGGAGAUAUGGUUCUUCUGUUGCAGUCAUGGGUUGUUUUAAGGUGGAGAUAUGGUUCUUCUGUUGCAGUCAUGGGUUGUUUUAAGGUGGAGAUAUGGUUCUUCUGUUGCAGUCAUGGGUUGUUUUAAGGUGGAGAUAUAGUUCUUCUGUUGCAGUCAUGCGCAGUGUUCUUGGUUGGUCAUCAAUCGACAAGGUAAUUGAAAAAAACAUGCUCAUUUUAUUUUAUAAUAUAAAUCA